This 32-nucleotide non-coding RNA is filed under the name Rattus norvegicus (Norway rat). Lineage: Eukaryota; Metazoa; Chordata; Mammalia; Rodentia; Muridae. The record is from RNAcentral.
CCUCUAGACCACGUGAAACAGAUUGAUAACGU